This 254-nucleotide ribosomal RNA is filed under the name uncultured bacterium. RNAcentral describes it as "partial 16S ribosomal RNA". It matches the Rfam family "Bacterial small subunit ribosomal RNA", at positions 524 to 776 of the family's 1533-position model. The record is from RNAcentral.
UACGUAGGGGGCGAGCGUUGUCCGGAGUUACUGGGCGUAAAGCGCGCGUAGGCGGUCAUUUAAGUCUGAGGUGAAAGGUUCAGCGCUCAACGUGAACAGUGCCUUGGAUACUGGGUGACUUGAGUUCGGGAGGGGGCAGUGGAAUUCCAGGUGUAGCGGUGAAAUGCGUAGAUAUCCGGAGGAACACCGAUGGCGAAGGCAGCUUCCUGGCCCACAACUGACGCUGAGGUGCGAAAGCGUGGGGAGCGAACGGG